AGUGAACGCUGGCGGUAGGCCUAACACAUGCAAGUCGAACGGCAGCACAGAGGAGCUUGCUCCUUGGGUGGCGAGUGGCGGACGGGUGAGGAAUACAUCGGAAUCUACUCUGUCGUGGGGGAUAACGUAGGGAAACUUACGCUAAUACCGCAUACGACCUACGGGUGAAAGCAGGGGACCUUCGGGUCUUGCGCGAUUGAAUGAGCCGAUGUCGGAUUAGCUAGUUGGCGGGGUAAAGGCCCACCAAGGCGACGAUCCGUAGCUGGUCUGAGAAGAUGGUCAGCCACACUGUAACUGAGACACGGUCCAGACUCCUACGCGAGGCAGCAGUGGGGACUAUUGGACAAUGGGCGCAAGCCUGAUCCAGCCAUACCGCGUGGGUGAAGAAGGCCGUCGGGUUGUAAAGCCCUUUUGUUGGGAAAGAAAUCCAGCUGGCUAAUACCCGGUUGGGAUGACGGUACCCAAAGAAUAAGCACCGGCUAACUUCGUGCCAGCCGCCGCAGUAA
Molecule: ribosomal RNA, 506 nt
Filed under: uncultured bacterium
Lineage: Bacteria
Description: partial 16S ribosomal RNA
Rfam family: Bacterial small subunit ribosomal RNA
Source: RNAcentral